UGGGGAAUUUUGGACAAUGGGGGAAACCCUGAUCCAGCCAUCCCGCGUGUGCGAUGAAGGCCUUCGGGUUGUAAAGCACUUUUGGCAGGAAAGAAACGUCGCGGGUUAAUACCCCGCGAAACUGACGGUACCUGCAGAAUAAGCACCGGCUAACUACGUGCCAGCAGCCGCGGUAAUACGUAGGGUGCAAGCGUUAAUCGGAAUUACUGGGCGUAAAGCGUGCGCAGGCGGUUCGGAAAGAAAGAUGUGAAAUCCCAGAGCUUAACUUUGGAACUGCAUUUUUAACUACCGGGCUAGAGUGUGUCAGAGGGAGGUGGAAUUCCGCGUGUAGCAGUGAAAUGCGUAGAUAUGCGGAGGAACACCGAUGGCGAAGGCAGCCUCCUGGGAUAACACUGACGCUCAUGCACGAAAAGCGUGGGGAGCAAAACAGGAUUAGAUACCCUGGUAGUCCACGCCCUAAAACGAUGUCAACUAGCUGUUGGGGGCCUUCGGGCCUUGGUAGCGCAGCUAACGCGUGAAGUUGACCGCCUGGGGAGUACGGUCGCAAGAUUAAAAACUCAAAAUGAAUUGACGGGGGUCAUAGCUGUUUUCCU
RNAcentral lists this ribosomal RNA (593 nucleotides) under uncultured bacterium. RNAcentral describes it as "partial 16S ribosomal RNA". It matches the Rfam family "Bacterial small subunit ribosomal RNA", at positions 355 to 939 of the family's 1533-position model. The record is from RNAcentral.